This 468-nucleotide ribosomal RNA is filed under the name uncultured bacterium. RNAcentral describes it as "partial 16S ribosomal RNA". It matches the Rfam family "Bacterial small subunit ribosomal RNA", at positions 28 to 507 of the family's 1533-position model. The record is from RNAcentral.
GACGAACGCUGGCGGCGUGCUUAACACAUGCAAGUCGAACGGCAACGCCCUGCUUUUGUGGGGUGCUCGAGUGGCGAACGGGUGAGUAACACGUGAGUAACCUGCCCUUGACUUUGGGAUAACUUCAGGAAACUGGGGCUAAUACCGGAUAGGAGAUCCUGCUGCAUGGUGGGGGUUGGAAAGUUUGGGCGGUUGGGGUUGGACUCGCGGCUUAUCAGCUUGUUGGUGGGGUAGUGGCUUACCAAGGGUUUGACGGGUAGUCGGCAUGAGGGGGUGACCGGCCACAUUGGGACUGCGGUACGGCCCAGUCUCCUAUGGGAGGCAGCAGUGGGGAAUAUUGUACAAUGGGCGGAAGUCUGAUGCAGCAACGCCGCGUGCGUGAUGACGGCCUUCGGGUUGUAAACCGCUUUCGCCUGUGACGAAGCGUUAGUGACGGUAAUGGGUAAAGAAGCACCGGCUAACUACGUG